CGAGCCUGAGGCGAAAGCUGACGGUGAAGUGGUUGAUGCCAUGCUUCCAGGAAAAUCCUCUAAGCUUCAGAUAGUAAGGAACCGUACUGUAAACCGACACAGGUGGGUAGGUAGAGUAUACUAAGGGGCGCGAGAUAACUCUCUCUAAGGAACUCGGCAAAAUGACUCCGUAACUUCGGGAGAAGGAGUGCCUUAUUCGUAAGGCUGCAAUAACAAGAUCCAAGCAACUGUUUAUCAAAAACACAGGUCUCCGCUAAGUCGUAAGACGAUGUAUGGGGGCUGACGCCUGCCCAGUGCCAGAAGGUUAAAGAAGUCGGUUAGCAUUAGCGAAGCUGGUAACUGAAGCCCUGGUGAACGGCGGCCGUGACUAUAACGGUCCUAAGGUAGCGAAAUUCCUUGUCGGGUAAGUUCCGACCCGCACGAAAGGCGUAAUGAUUUGGAUACUGUCUCGGAGAGGGGCUCGGUGAAAUAGACUUGUCUGUGAAGAUGCGGACUACCUGCACCAGGACAGAAAGACCCUAUGAAGCUUUACUGUAACUUGAAAUUGAAAUUGGACUUUAUUCGCGCAGUAUAGGUGGGAGGUGUUGAUUAUAAUCUUGCGGGAUUAUUGGAGCCAUCAGUGAGAUACCACUCUUGUAAUGUUAGAUUUCUAACUUUGAAUCAUUAUCUGGUCAAAGAACAGUUUCAGGCGGGCAGUUUGACUGGGGCGGUCGCCUCCUAAAUGGUAACGGAGGCGUACAAAGGUUUCCUCUGAACGGGUAGAAAUCGUAUCUAGAGUGUAAAGGCAUAAGGAAGCUUGACUGUGAGACCUACAAGUCGAGCAGGGACGAAAGUCGGUCUUAGUGAUCUGACGGUACUGAGUGGAAAGGCCGUCACUCAACGGAUAAAAGUUACUCUAAGGAUAACAGGCUGAUCUCCCCCAAGAGUUCACAUCGACGGGGAGGUUUGGCACCUCGAUGUCGGCUCAUCGCAUCCUGGGGCGGUAGUACGUCCCAAGGGUUGGGCUGUUCGCCCAUGAAAGCGGUACGCGAGCUGGGUUCAGAACGUCGUGAGACAGUUCGGUCCAUAUCCGGUGUAGGCGUUAGAAUAUUGAGAGGAGCCUUCUUCAGUACGAGAGGACCGAGAAGGACAUACCUCUGGUGUACCAGUUAUCGUGCCAACGGUAAACGCUGGGUAGCUAUGUAUGGAGUGGAUAACCGCUGAAAGCAUCUAAGUGGGAAGCCCACCUCAAGAUAAGUAUUCUCA
This 1245-nucleotide ribosomal RNA is filed under the name metagenome. Its description in RNAcentral is "bacterial LSU rRNA". It matches the Rfam family "Bacterial large subunit ribosomal RNA", at positions 1546 to 2816 of the family's 2925-position model. The record is from RNAcentral.